GAGGAUGUAGCUCAGUGGUAGAGUGCUUGCCUAGAGUGAAUGAAGCCCUGGGUUCCAUCCCCAGCACCAUGA
Non-coding RNA from Ictidomys tridecemlineatus (thirteen-lined ground squirrel), 72 nucleotides. The record is from Rfam. Lineage: Eukaryota; Metazoa; Chordata; Mammalia; Rodentia; Sciuridae.